Molecule: ribosomal RNA, 468 nt
Filed under: uncultured bacterium
Lineage: Bacteria
Description: partial 16S ribosomal RNA
Rfam family: Bacterial small subunit ribosomal RNA
Source: RNAcentral
GACGAACGCUGGCGGCGUGUUUAACACAUGCAAGUCGAACGGAAAGGCCCUGCUUUUGUGGGGUGCUCGAGUGGCGAACGGGUGAGUAACACGUGAGUAACCUGCCCUUGACUCUGGGAUAACUUCAGGAAACUGGGGCUAAUACCGGAUAGGAGCUCCUGCUGCAUGGUGGGGGUCGGAAAGUUUCGGCGGUUGGGGAUGGACUUGGGGCUUAUCAGCUUGUUGGUGGGGUAGUGGCUUACCAAGGCUUUGACGGGUAGCCGGCCUGAGAGGGUGACCGGCCACAUGGGGACUGAGCUACGGCCCGGCCUCCUACGGGAGGCAGCAGUGGGGAAUAUUGCACAAUGGGCGGAAGCCUGAUGCAGCAACGCCGCGUGCGGGAUGGUGGCCUUCGGGUUGUAAACCGCUUUCGCCUGUGACGAAGCGUGGGUGACGGUAAUGGGUAAAGAAGCACCGGCUAACUACGUG